AGUGAACGCUGGCGGUAGGCCUAACACAUGCAAGUCGAACGGCAGCACAGUAAGAGCUUGCUCUUACGGGUGGCGAGUGGCGGACGGGUGAGGAAUACAUCGGAAUCUACUUUUUCGUGGGGGAUAACGUAGGGAAACUUACGCUAAUACCGCAUACGACCUACGGGUGAAAGCAGGGGAUCUUCGGACCUUGCGCGAUUGAAUGAGCCGAUGUCGGAUUAGCUAGUUGGCGGGGUAAAGGCCCACCAAGGCGACGAUCCGUAGCUGGUCUGAGAGGAUGAUCAGCCACCCUGGAACUGGGACCCCGUCCCGGCUCCUACGGGAGGCCGCAGUGGGGAAUAUUGGACAAUGGGCGCAAGCCUGAUCCAGCCCUACCGCGUGGGUGAAGAAGGCCUUCGGGUUUUAAAGCCCUUUUGUUGGGAAAGAAAAGCAGCAGGUUAAUACCCCGCUGUUCUGACGGUACCCAAAGAAUAAGCACCGGCUAACUUCGUG
RNAcentral lists this ribosomal RNA (492 nucleotides) under uncultured bacterium. RNAcentral describes it as "partial 16S ribosomal RNA". It matches the Rfam family "Bacterial small subunit ribosomal RNA", at positions 29 to 507 of the family's 1533-position model. The record is from RNAcentral.